CCUCUGCCUGUGUCUUCCUGGUGGGCUGGGCAUCAGACGCUGCGCAGCACAGCAGGGUCAUUUCCAGACAGUGAUGCGUUUCAGGCAAUAACAGUGGAAGUAGGAGGAGACCGAGGAGACUGACUAUCCCUGCCGCUGCAGCCUGCUCCACCCCGCACAUCUGCGCCUCCAGCUCGGAAACUUCUGCGGAACAGCGGAACGUCCGGAGGCGAGUGGAGCAGCUCAGAAGAUCACGGGAACAUCUCAACGAGGAACAUGGAUUCUUCCACUGUGUCGUACAACCCGGGAAAUGCAGUGAUGGUCACCCCGGUGCUCCCGGACGCUCCCAACGGGGAGCAGCAGCCAUCGUUGGAUAGAAGACACAACUUCAGGAAGGGACAUCCUAAGGCACUCGGGAUCGUUCAGAUCAUGACUGGUGCAUUAAUGCUGCUGUCUGGGAUCGCGAUGGCUUUCUACCAACCUUCAGUGGAAGUUGCCACCAGGUUCAUUGUUGGGGGAGCUUUGAUCUACAUCACAUCUGGAGCGGUGACGGUGGCUGCUGAGAAGUUUUUGAGUCAUUGUCUGAUCAACACUUCUCUGGCGUUCAACAUUAUUGCAGCGAUGGCUGCUGCAGCUGCUGCUAUCAUGUAUGCAUUUGGUCUUGUCUUCAUGAGCUUGUUCAGCGUCUUCAGUUCUCAGGAUUACAGCGGUGGCUAUUUGGCUAUGCUGGCUAUGCUCCAGUUUGUGGAGCUCAUUAUUUCUAUCAUCGUGGCAAGAUACGCCUGUAAUGCAACUUGCGGCUGCUGCACGGAGGACCCUCAAGUCAUCGUUCAAGCUGUAGAAGGACCGAACUCCACCCAACCUCCGCCCUAUUACCAAACAUCUGUUGCCCCCACUCAUCCAUACCCUGAGGUGGCGCCCAACGUUAAAAACCAAGGAGAUCUGGGUUCUGCUGAGCCUCCACCCUACCAACCUAACUGACCCACACACAUUGGCCACGUUUACAUGGGCCCCAUAUAAUCGGAUUGUAAGGUGGUGUCCUACUUUAAAAAAGGAGAUCUGGGUUCUGCUGAGCCUCCACCCUACAACCUAACCGACCCACACACAUUGGCCACGUUUACAUAGGCCCCGUAUAAUGGGAUUGAAAAGUGAAACGGAUUGUCAGUAUGUCAUAUAAACACUCGAGUGCUUGACUCGGAGACGAUUGUAUUUUGGAUCUGAUUGUACGACGUAGUCUGCGCUGAUUGAUCAUCCGGUCCUUGUCUUAUAUAUACUGCCCUUGACUGCAGAACGGAUUAAAUGGGGGAUUAUUCAUUCUGCGCAUGCGUUCCCUUGCACAUAGUGACGUGAUGACGUGCGCAGUAAACGAAAGCAGGAAAGUCAAAAACAGACAGAACUUGACAGUGAUUGAGAUUUUUUUUUUUUUUAUAAAACUACAAAGACAAACAUUGGAGAGUAGAGAUGGCUGCAAAUCGUGCAACAGCGAGUUGUUCAGAGCUACAUGGCAGACUACUAGCAGAUCGCCCAGCUGGUGUUAUUGAUUAACUGGUUCCCAUGUUUACCAGUGACAGAAUUCUGUGUAAAGACAUGCUGGUAACAGCAGAUGUUAACAUAAGACUCACAAAAGACACUAAACUUAGAAAUUUAUUGUAACUGUAGAUAACCGAUGUUCACGAAAACGAUUACAAGUUUCAGUCGUAUUCCAACAUCUUUUGGUCACAAAUUAACAUGGGCACCAGUUAAUUCGAAACAUCGGCAGGCGGAGCGGAGUCCCGGUGCACAUCCCGGGAUGUGCCGGCAGGGCGGUACUCCAACCGGGGGAGUGAUCGCUCUUUGACCACCGUAUCAUGAAGAUGUUGGAACAUUAUUUGAGCAGAUAACCAGCAGAUAAAAACACUCUGCUCGGCGCUGAGGACUGCUGGCUGCAAAAGACCUGAAAAUUCAGAGAGAGACUUUGUGCACAUGUCACAGGACGUGUAUAAUCCGCUUCACCCAGGGCCCUUUUAAAUGAAUAUUGAUCGUGGAUCACUUUGUAUGCCGUCCAUAUAUAUACAUGCGUUUAACACGAUUGUUUUCAAUUGGAUUGAAAAAACACCCAUGUAAACUGGGCCAUUGACUCCGAUCCUUGCAAAGCUGCUGGUUGAGCUGGUAUUUAUUUUUCUGUGACCUUAAAAUAUGUCAGUGAGAGAUGUGGAAACAGUUGAACAAUAAGGACAAAAGUAAAAACGAAACCAGCCUUUCAUAGAAUGUAUUUGAAGAAGCUUCAUGGUGGUAAAUGUGGAUUCUCCUUCAGGCUUUUAAUAAAGGAAGAGAGAUUAAGGGAGAACGUGUAGGAAGGUCAAUAAAUGAGUACAAGCUGCAAAGUGAUAUAUCAUUGCUGAAAUAUUUUGUAUCAGAUAAUACUUUGAAAAUCAGUGUGCAAAGUAGAUUUGGUUUGAGGUCAUAUGAAAUUAAAAUGCAUCAGUUCAGUUAACCCUCCUCUGGUCUGAAACCGCCUCAUAAUUACCUGAUAAACACAUGGGUGGUUGAUUGUUUUUUGCAAGUCAAAUAAGUUUUUAUUUUAUCUGACAAAUUACAUGUUAUUAAAAUUUAGAAGAUGUGUAUUUGUGGGCAUAAAAAAUGAGUCGUGGAUUCAACAGACCCAUAAAAUAUGAGGGAUGUCAUGGUUGACAGUGAGGGAGGAAACAUGGAGCAUCUUGUGUCAUAUACGUAUACUUGCAGAGACUUUCAUUGCCUCUGGCUCUCUUUUGAUGCUGAAAGCUCAUUCCAUGUGGAACCGGCUCCCAGUUCUGCUCUUUCUAUCGUUUCAAUGUAAUUUCAUUGUACUACUGUAAUUUCAUCUCAUUGUAUUGAUACAUGCCAUUGAUGAUUGUU
RNA transcript from Salarias fasciatus (jewelled blenny), 2853 nucleotides. It is a transcript of the gene named membrane-spanning 4-domains subfamily A member 15-like, with no coding region annotated. The record is from RefSeq and is a predicted model, not a curated record. NCBI's taxonomy places the organism in Eukaryota, Metazoa, Chordata, Actinopteri, Blenniiformes, Blenniidae. The transcript is spliced from 9 exons.